CCUACGGGAGGCAGCAGUGGGGAAUAUUGGGCAAUGGAGGAAACUCUGACCCAGCAACGCCGCGUGAAUGAUGAAGGUCUUCGGAUUGUAAAGUUCUUUUCUAAGGGAAGAAGCAAGUGACGGUACCUUAGGAAUAAGCCUCGGCUAACUACGUGCCAGCAGCCGCGGUAAUACGUAGGAGGCGAGCGUUAUCCGGAAUGACUGGGGGUAAAGGGUGCGUAGGUGGUUUGGCAAGUUAGUAGCGAAAAGCCCGGGCUCAACCUGUGACCUACAUUUGAAACUGUUGGACUUGAGUGCAGGAGAGGCAACCGGAAUUCCUAGUGUAGCGGUGGAAUGCGUAGAUAUUAGGAGGAACACCAGUGGCGAAGGCGGGUUGCUAGACUGUAACUGACACUGAGGCACGAAAGCGUGGGGAGCAAACAGGAUUAGAUACCCGUGUAGUC
RNAcentral lists this ribosomal RNA (443 nucleotides) under uncultured bacterium. RNAcentral's name for it is "partial 16S ribosomal RNA". It matches the Rfam family "Bacterial small subunit ribosomal RNA", at positions 338 to 795 of the family's 1533-position model. The record is from RNAcentral.